Molecule: unclassified non-coding RNA, 197 nt
Filed under: uncultured fungus
Lineage: Eukaryota; Fungi
Description: sequence contains ITS1
Source: RNAcentral
UUUAUUUAUUUGUUUAUGUGUCACUCAGAGGAGAAAACCACUAAAGACAUGAGAGUUUGGGGCCUCCGGCGGGCGCCGUGUUCCGGGCCCGAAGGCGCCGGGGCGGUCCCGCCGAAGCAACGAUAUGGUAAGGUUCACAAAGGGUUUGGGAGUUUGUAAACUCGGUAAUGAUCCCUCCGCUGGUUCACCAACGGAGA